UACGGAGGGCGCAAGCGUUAUCCGGAUUUACUGGGUUUAAAGGGUGCGCAGGCGGAUAUGUAAGUCAGUGGUGAAAUCUCUAGGCUUAACCUGGAAAUUGCCGUUGAUACUAUAUAUCUUGAAUGCUGUGGAGGUAAGCGGAAUAUGUCAUGUAGCGGUGAAAUGCUUAGAUAUGACAUAGAACACCUAUUGCGAAGGCAGCUUACUACGCAGAUAUUGACGCUCAUGCACGAAAGCGUGGGGAUCAAACAGG
This 253-nucleotide ribosomal RNA is filed under the name uncultured bacterium. Its description in RNAcentral is "partial 16S ribosomal RNA". It matches the Rfam family "Bacterial small subunit ribosomal RNA", at positions 524 to 776 of the family's 1533-position model. The record is from RNAcentral.